This 496-nucleotide ribosomal RNA is filed under the name uncultured bacterium. RNAcentral's name for it is "partial 16S ribosomal RNA". It matches the Rfam family "Bacterial small subunit ribosomal RNA", at positions 28 to 506 of the family's 1533-position model. The record is from RNAcentral.
GACGAACGCUGGCGGCGUGCCUAAUACAUGCAAGUUGAGCGAUGAAGAUUGGUGCUUGCACCAAUUUGAAGAGCAGCGAACGGGUGAGUAACGCGUGGGGAAUCUGCCUUUGAGCGGGGGACAACAUUUGGAAACGAAUGCUAAUACCGCAUAACAACUUUAAACAUAAGUUUUAAGUUUGAAAGAUGCAAUUGCAUCACUCAAAGAUGAUCCCGCGUUGUAUUAGCUAGUUGGUGAGGUAAAGGCUCACCAAGGCGAUGAUACAUAGCCGACCUGAGAGGGUGAUCGGCCACAUUGGGACUGAGACACGGCCCAAACUCCUACGGGAGGCAGCAGUAGGGAAUCUUCGGCAAAGGACGAAAGUCUGACCGAGCAACGCCGCGUGAGUGAAGAAGGUUUUCGGAUCGUAAAACUCUGUUGGUAGAGAAGAACGUUGGUGAGAGUGGAAAGCUCAUCAAGUGACGGUAACUACCCAGAAAGGGACGGCUAACUACGU